This 229-nucleotide ribosomal RNA is filed under the name uncultured bacterium. Its description in RNAcentral is "partial 16S ribosomal RNA". It matches the Rfam family "Bacterial small subunit ribosomal RNA", at positions 568 to 796 of the family's 1533-position model. The record is from RNAcentral.
UGCGUAGGCGGAUUAAUAAGUCAGUGGUGAAAACCUGCAGCUUAACUGUAGAACUGCCAUUGAUACUGUUAGUCUUGAGUACGGUCAAGGUAGGCGGAAUGUGUAAUGUAGCGGUGAAAUGCUUAGAUAUUACACAGAACACCGAUUGCGAAGGCAGCUUACUGGACCAUUACUGACGCUGAGGCACCAAAGCGUGGGGAGCGAACAGGAUUAGAUACCCUGGUAGUCC